Small nuclear RNA from Otolemur garnettii (small-eared galago), 107 nucleotides. Lineage: Eukaryota; Metazoa; Chordata; Mammalia; Primates; Galagidae. The record is from Ensembl.
GUGCUCACUUCAGCAGCACAUAUACUAACAUUGAAAUGAUACAGAGAAGAUUAGCAUGGCUCCUGUGCAAGGAUGCCAUGCAAAUUUGUGAAUCGCUCCUUAUUUUU